AAAGCCCGCUCGCCGGAAGACCAAGGGUUCCUGUCCAACGUUAAUCGGGGCAGGGUGAGUCGACCCCUAAGGCGAGGCCGAAAGGCGUAGUCGAUGGGAAACAGGUUAAUAUUCCUGUACUUGGUGUUACUGCGAAGGGGGGACGGAGAAGGCUAUGUUGGCCGGGCGACGGUUGUCCCGGUUUAAGCGUGUAGGCUGGUUUUCCAGGCAAAUCCGGAAAAUCAAGGCUGAGGCGUGAUGACGAGGCACUACGGUGCUGAAGCAACAAAUGCCCUGCUUCCAGGAAAAGCCUCUAAGCAUCAGGUAACAUCAAAUCGUACCCCAAACCGACACAGGUGGUCAGGUAGAGAAUACCAAGGCGCUUGAGAGAACUCGGGUGAAGGAACUAGGCAAAAUGGUGCCGUAACUUCGGGAGAA
This 417-nucleotide ribosomal RNA is filed under the name Escherichia coli. Its description in RNAcentral is "partial 23S ribosomal RNA". It matches the Rfam family "Bacterial large subunit ribosomal RNA", at positions 1325 to 1744 of the family's 2925-position model. The record is from RNAcentral. Lineage: Bacteria; Pseudomonadati; Pseudomonadota; Gammaproteobacteria; Enterobacterales; Enterobacteriaceae.